UAGGUAGAAGCUCGCUGGUUUGGGGCGCCUAGCUGUUAACUAGGAUUUUUAUGGGAUCGAGGCCCAUCUAUCUAG
RNAcentral lists this transfer RNA (75 nucleotides) under Rallus indicus. RNAcentral's name for it is "tRNA-Asn". The record is from RNAcentral. Lineage: Eukaryota; Metazoa; Chordata; Aves; Gruiformes; Rallidae.